AGAUGAACGCUGGCGGCAGGCCUAACACAUGCAAGUCGAGCGGUAGCACAGAGAGCUUGCUCUCGGGUGACGAGCGGCGGACGGGUGAGUAAUGUCUGGGAAACUGCCUGAUGGAGGGGGAUAACUACUGGAAACGGUAGCUAAUACCGCAUAACGUCGCAAGACCAAAGUGGGGGACCUUCGGGCCUCAUGCCAUCAGAUGUGCCCAGAUGGGAUUAGCUAGUAGGUGGGGUAACGGCUCACCUAGGCGACGAUCCCUAGCUGGUCUGAGAGGAUGACCAGCCACACUGGAACUGAGACACGGUCCAGACUCCUACGGGAGGCAGCAGUGGGGAAUAUUGCACAAUGGGCGCAAGCCUGAUGCAGCCAUGCCGCGUGUGUGAAGAAGGCCUUCGGGUUGUAAAGCACUUUCAGCGGGGAGGAAGGCGAUAAGGUUAAUAACCUCAUCGAUUGACGUACCCGCAGAAGAAGCACC
RNAcentral lists this ribosomal RNA (475 nucleotides) under Klebsiella pneumoniae. RNAcentral describes it as "bacterial SSU rRNA". It matches the Rfam family "Bacterial small subunit ribosomal RNA", at positions 28 to 494 of the family's 1533-position model. The record is from RNAcentral. Lineage: Bacteria; Pseudomonadati; Pseudomonadota; Gammaproteobacteria; Enterobacterales; Enterobacteriaceae.